This 1864-nucleotide unclassified non-coding RNA is filed under the name Leishmania donovani. Its description in RNAcentral is "gene:unknown". The record is from RNAcentral. Lineage: Eukaryota; Euglenozoa; Kinetoplastea; Trypanosomatida; Trypanosomatidae.
ACGCUUUCUUCAUCCGCAUGUCGGCAAAAAAAAAAGAGGCUGCGGAAGCGUUUUCCCUAAUCCAGGGAUCACAGAAACACGAAUGCUCAAGUGCACCCGUUUUUCUCGAUUCUCGCACAAGAAGGUACCUCAAAGUCGUCAAGAGGAUUACCCCCUUCCCCCCUCUCUCUCCCACGACGGCGAAGACCGCCACGACCACCUCCUCACGAACAGGAGAAGACAGCCCUCAAGCCUGCAGUGGGCAAAGGGAGGAGGGCAUAAUACGAAACGACGCGCAUAAGGGUCUUUCACCACGAUACAGACAUUGCGGCCCCCAGCGCCAGAUCCCUCUCAUUCACUCCCCGCUUACCUCAUAUAUAUAUGUGAAAACUUUCUGUUCUCUCCGUUUUUUGGUGUCAAUCGCUUGAACUCGGUAAGCCCCUACCCCUCCUCCUCCUCCUCUGCAUUCGAGGCAGAGGAGCAAGCGGAAGUAGCAUUGCGGCUGCUGGUGGUGGUCGCACACGCUCAGAAAAAAAGGGAAGUACACGUGCCACAUGAUUAAUGACGAUAGUGCUGAUCUGAUAAAAGCAUAGCGUUUUCUGUUUGCUCUGUUUUCGUGAUUCCGAUUCCCUCCUCCUCCUAUGCUGCUCUGGCGUUUUUCCGCGCCUGCACCCCCUUCCUCGUUGUAUCAUCCCGUGGUCUCUGUUUGAGUUCCCCUCCCCUACUCCUCCCUCCCUUCUCUGUCCCCAAGCUCCCCCUCGCGCUCCCCAUGCAGACCUCUCUCACAUGCCACCCACUGCCAAGCGUGUGAGACGACAGCAUGUAGUGUCGGUGUGCGUGAAGGCUGAUCGUGAGAUAGCGAGCAGAAGGCAGCGAGAGGAGCGGCCGACGGCGCGCUCCAACAACGAAAGAGUGCAUUUUUUCGUCUACUUGCUUGACUGCACUCCCCCUCUCACCGCCAUCGAUGCGCACUCCACAGUGAAGGACGUGUGCUCAAAAGGGAGGGAUUGCAUCGGAGGGCACGACGGCGGUUGCCGCUUUUUACAGGCCUUACUUGUUCCCCACAUACAGAGCGGGAGAAGUAGUGCAAGCUGCAAGGGGAACGAAGCGGCGCGGUCGGCGAUCGAGAGACAAAUCUCCCUCCACCGCAGAAAGCAGAGGCGCAGAUCAACAUACACGCACAAGCCAGCAGCACCUCUCUUGUCUUGUGGUCUUAUUUUUCGUCUACCGUUUUCUGCCUUCUGGAAGGCAUUCUUGUUUUACACGCCUCCACACCCACCCCCGCCCCUUUCCUUGCUCAGUCAAUGACGUGUGUGUGCGUGUGUGCUGCUGCUGCUGCUGCUGCUGGUGGUGGUGGUGGUGGGUGGUGGUACCACCGCCUCUCGGCCCACAUGUGCUUGCCUUGAAAACAAAGCGCUGCUUUCUCCCUCUCUUGUUUGGCUGCUUCUCUUUAUCAUCAUUAUUCGCCUUUAAAAGAAAAAAAAACAUCAUCGUCAUUGCCAUGUCUUCGUUGUUGCCAUCUGUUGACCUGGCCUGCCUCUCUCACUCUGCCCUCCUCUUCUUUCCGGCUGCUUCGUGUCUCCCUCCCAGCCCCCUUCCCGUCGUUGCCUCACGCUCGUCAGAUGUUUUACUUUUUUAGUUUUGGCGUCGAGUCACUUCAUUCUCUCUGCAGCGUUGGUGAUGAGGCAUCGUAUACGGAUCGAACAAGUGACGAGGGAGCACGCGGGAGGCCAAAAAGAGGCAGACGACGGACGACGUCAUCCGACAAAGGAACUGCUAGUCGCUUCGCUUCUUUUUCUUGGGCAAUGCCCUCGUUAUCCCCUGCCUCCCUGCAUACCCCGUUUGUGUGCCCCGAAGCUUUUCACGCGCACAGGCUCGUGACAUC